CCUACGGGUGGCAGCAGUGAGGAAUAUUGGUCAAUGGGCGCGAGCCUGAACCAGCCAAGUCGCGUGAGGGAGGACGGCCCUACGGGUUGUAAACCUCUUUUGCCGGGGAGCAACGGGCGCCACGUGUGGCGUCACUGAGAGUACCCGGAGACAAAGCAUCGGCUAACUCCGUGCCAGCAGCCGCGGAAAUACGUAGGUGGCAAGGGUUAUCCGGAUUUACUGGGUGUAAAGGGCGUGUAGGCGGGAAAGCAAGUCAGAUGUGAAAACCAUGGGCUCAACCUGUGGCCUGCAUUUGAAACUGUUUUGCUUGAGUACUGGAGAGGCAGACGGAAUUCCUGGUGUAGCGGUGAAAUGCGUAGAUAUUAGGAGGAACACCAGUGGCGAAGGCGGUCUGCUGGACAGCAACUGACGCUGAGGCGCGAAAGCGUGGGGAGCAAACAGGAUUAGAUACCCUGGUAGUC
This 461-nucleotide ribosomal RNA is filed under the name uncultured bacterium. RNAcentral's name for it is "partial 16S ribosomal RNA". It matches the Rfam family "Bacterial small subunit ribosomal RNA", at positions 338 to 795 of the family's 1533-position model. The record is from RNAcentral.